CUAACAUGAUCAUAAUUGCUUUAUGUAAAUACAGAUACUAAGAUGGUAAUGUUCUGUCCUUGUUUUUGCUGAAGACUGGAGACUGUAAGUACCCCAUACUGGGAGGAGUAGCCAGCCUGAGGAGGAUUUUCAGAGGGUGAUCUCAGACGAGGGACGAGGGAUGUAGCUGACAGUAGCUGAUAUCAGCCUCCAGACAGUACCAGAAGGAUGCAGAAGCAGCACUGGGAAGGACUCUGGUUUGAGGCUCUGCACAGUCCCUCUCCCCUCACCUCCCACUUGCUGAUGCCCAGCUGAGGUCUUCUCAGGCAACCGGACCUCACACAAGUGCUGUGUGUGACACUUAGCAGAACUGGCAGGUGUGGAUUGAGAACAUGCAUAAUUUUGGUGCUCAUAUAAUGUGAAGAAAUUGAGCUUGGACUUUUUAGUUGCAUAUGCAAGUGUGUGUUCAAUAUAUCAAGUUAGAAGUCACCUAAAAAAAGAAAAUCUGAACUAGUCCCAGCUGGAAGAAACAGAAGAGGUUGUGUAAUAUCGUCUUCAUCAUAAGAAAUAAAUAUUUGGUCUUUGGCCCUAUUUCUGGCACAGAACUCCUACCAACCUUGGAAUUUCCUAAGUGAUUAGAGUGAUACAGUUGUCUUUAAUUAUGUUAAUGAGGUGUCUUUUGGAAGCACCUAAGGAGGGAGGAAACCAAC
Molecule: long non-coding RNA, 689 nt
Filed under: Capra hircus (goat)
Lineage: Eukaryota; Metazoa; Chordata; Mammalia; Artiodactyla; Bovidae
Description: lncRNA (ENSCHIG00000007785.1)
Source: RNAcentral